AGCGAACGCUGGCGGCAGGCCUAACACAUGCAAGUCGAACGAACUCUUCGGAGUUAGUGGCGGACGGGUGAGUAACACGUGGGAACGUGCCUUUAGGUUCGGAAUAACUCAGGGAAACUUGUGCUAAUACCGAAUGUGCCCUUCGGGGGAAAGAUUUAUCGCCUUUAGAGCGGCCCGCGUCUGAUUAGCUAGUUGGUGAGGUAAAGGCUCACCAAGGCGACGAUCAGUAGCUGGUCUGAGAGGAUGAUCAGCCACAUUGGGACUGAGACACGGCCCAAACUCCUUCGGGAGGCAGCAGUGGGGAAUCUUGCGCAAUGGGCGAAAGCCUGACGCAGCCAUGCCGCGUGAAUGAUGAAGGUCUUAGGAUUGUAAAAUUCUUUCACCGGGGACGAUAAUGACGGUACCCGGAGAAGAAGCCCCGGCUAACUUCGUG
This 433-nucleotide ribosomal RNA is filed under the name uncultured bacterium. RNAcentral describes it as "partial 16S ribosomal RNA". It matches the Rfam family "Bacterial small subunit ribosomal RNA", at positions 29 to 507 of the family's 1533-position model. The record is from RNAcentral.